CCAAUAGCGUAUAUUAAAGUUGUUGCAGUUAAAAAGCUCGUAGUUGAAUUUCGGGAUCAACAUGUCGGUCGUGCCUCUGGUACGUACUGGUAUCGUUGGUUUCUACCUUCUGACGAACCAUGAUGUCAUUAAUUUGGUGUCAUGGGAAAUCAGGACCGUUACUUUGAAAAAAUUAGAGUGUUUAAAGCAGGCACACGCUUGAAUACAUUAGCAUGGAAUAAUGAAAUAGGACGUUUGAUCCUAUUUUGUUGGUUUCUAGGAUCGACGUAAUGAUUAAUAGGGAUAGUUGGGGGCAUUAGUAUUCAAUUGUCAGAGGUGAAAUUCUUGGAUUUAUUGAAGACUAACUACUGCGAAAGCAUUUGCCAAGGAUGUUUUCAUUAAUCAAGAACGAAAGUUAGGGGAUCGAAGACGACCAGAUACCGUCGUAGUCUUAACCAUAAACUAUGCCGACUAGGGAUCGGAUGAUGUUAAUUUUUUAAUGACUCAUUCGGCGCCUUACG
Molecule: ribosomal RNA, 500 nt
Filed under: uncultured Glomeromycotina
Lineage: Eukaryota; Fungi; Glomeromycota
Description: partial small subunit ribosomal RNA
Rfam family: Eukaryotic small subunit ribosomal RNA
Source: RNAcentral